RNAcentral lists this long non-coding RNA (227 nucleotides) under Elaeis guineensis (African oil palm). Its description in RNAcentral is "long non-coding RNA (EGUI_LNC046022)". Lineage: Eukaryota; Viridiplantae; Streptophyta; Magnoliopsida; Arecales; Arecaceae. The record is from RNAcentral.
AUCUGGAGAAUGAGGCUCUGACUUAUCCGGUAUCGGUCGAGAAGGUGCAGGGGGCUCUUUGAUCUCUCAGGACAGAUAAGGCCCCAGGACUGAAUAGCUUUCCCCUGCUAUUUUUUUGUCAGUAUUGGUCUACUAUUGGAGAGGAGGUGGUAGAGGUGGUGGAGAUGGUCUUUGAGUCUAGAGGCAUUCUGGAAGAGUGGAAGAAGAUACUGAUCAUCCCUAUCCUG